Papaver somniferum (opium poppy) is the source of this 1198-nucleotide long non-coding RNA. RefSeq lists it as uncharacterized. Lineage: Eukaryota; Viridiplantae; Streptophyta; Magnoliopsida; Ranunculales; Papaveraceae. The record is from RefSeq and is a predicted model, not a curated record. The transcript has 8 exons.
ACCAAUGUAAAUAGCAUAACAGAGGUGUUAAACCUAUUUCUUGUCAUAUUAGAGAGUUGAUAGAACAACCAUCACUGAAAGCAAACAGCUAUAAGGAUAGUGGUGAGAGGAAUAGAGUUUUCUCCUAAUCCCAUCUACAUGGAAUUCAUUUCCUGGUGUUGUUGAUUGGAGACUUCAAGGGACUUAACUUCCUGGUUUUGGUGAUUGGAAUUUUCAAAGGUGCGAUUUUUCUUUGAUAAACAACAAAAACCCAUUUUGUGUGUAAACCCGAAUCCUAAGGUGCAUCAAGGUUCUUUUGCCCACACUACAGACUGGAGGUACAGCCAUAUGCGAAUAAGUUGAGAUCAGUGUGGUUCUUAUCUAAGUUUUGUGCAUCAAGGCGUUUGGCAUAUCCUAACCCUAUUUUUUCAUUCUAUUUCAUCUCCACGAUUUUUUUGUUAUUAACAAGAAUUUUUUAUUAAUAUAGGGUUUCUACAUGAUCAUCAUCUACUUCUGCCUGAGAGCCUAUAUUUGGAAUAACUGAUUUUUGCUUUGUCUCAUUGCAGGAUUGUGAUCUCGAUCCCUUUUCUUUUGCGGCAAGAGAAACCAAAAAGUGCAUGUUGCUAGGUAAGCCCUUUAACAGUAGGGAUUAUAUAGUGCAGAAGAAAGCGGAUUUGAAAAGAACGCCAUUUAGGAAAGAAGGCUGCCACAAAGUCAAAUAAAAAUUCGGAUUAAUGCGCGAAUGUUCAAUAAAUAUGGUUUUAGAGUUGGGGAAAGCUCACAGCAGAACUUUGAAAACAGGAUAGGAUGAGAGUCACAGUUACUAAAUUAAUUAUAUCAACUCAGGAACUGUCUUGCGUUUACAAAUCAACACAGGAACUCCCUGCAGAAGUGGACAAUUACCCAAGUAUAAUCAGUCGAUCACCAGUUCACCGCUCAUCUAAUAGCUUCUCACCAAUUCACUGCUCAACUGUUUUCCGUACGCGUUCCUAUGCUGGCAGCUCAACUGUUCAGCUGUUCUUCGAUCCACUACUAUUUUCUGUUCCACUUAUAGUCAUUCACCUGUUAGUCACUUUCUAGAUGGUCGUUUUACAAAUGACCGCUCCCCUGAUUGAAGAUCAAGGACUUGAAUAUUGGGUUGGAGGGUUACUGGGUUAUCUCUAAAUUAGCUAUUAGUUUUGACUUUUAUAUUGUUAAUGUGACAGUUGCGUGUCAGAAU